Rhineura floridana is the source of this 396-nucleotide long non-coding RNA. RefSeq lists it as uncharacterized. The transcript has 2 exons. NCBI's taxonomy places the organism in Eukaryota, Metazoa, Chordata, Lepidosauria, Squamata, Rhineuridae. The record is from RefSeq and is a predicted model, not a curated record.
ACUUCCUGGAUUGAAAAGAAGCAGCUGCCAACAAUCUCCAACUUUUGAAGUGUACAAGUCUCAGCUGGUGCAGCAGAGUGCUGUUCCACCAAAAUGAGUUGAGCCAUUGCAAUCCACAGCUGCAGACAAACCUUCACUGGACAGCCUCUUACACAGGAGAAAAAAACUGGAAGCAGUAUUUAUCGCAAAUAGCAAGCAUUGAUCCCUUAUGAAGAGGUACCAGAAGGAAGUUCAAUGGAGCAAAAAUGGAACCAGCACCGAAAUGCAGAUCCCAUCCCUCCUUGUUACAGUAUUGCUAUUCCUUUGCCUUCUAAGAGCACCUGGCCUAUACUCUGCUGUUUCCAUGAUACUGAGUUUGUAUCAUUAGUCUGCAAUAAUAAACACUCACUUCUUUUC